This 508-nucleotide ribosomal RNA is filed under the name uncultured bacterium. Its description in RNAcentral is "bacterial SSU rRNA". It matches the Rfam family "Bacterial small subunit ribosomal RNA", at positions 8 to 526 of the family's 1533-position model. The record is from RNAcentral.
AGAGUUUGAUCAUGGCUCAGGACGAACGCUGGCGGCGCGCUUAACACAUGCAAGUCGAGCGAGAACCAGCCCUUCGGGGCUGGGGACAGCGGCGAACGGGUGAGUAACACGUGAGUAAUCCACCCUCGGCAUCGGGAUAGCCCGGGGAAACCCGGAUUAAUACCGAAUGGCCCAUUUGUCCCUCGGGAAUAAAUGGAAAAGGUAGCUUCGGCCUCUGGCCGGGGACGAGCUCGCGGCGGAUUAGCUUGUUGGUGGGGUAAAGGCCCACCAAGGCGACGAUCCGUAGCUGGUCUGAGAGGACGAUCAGCCACACUGGGACUGAGACACGGCCCAGACUCCUACGGGAGGCAGCAGUGGGGAAUCUUGCGCAAUGGACGAAAGUCUGAUGGAGCAACGCCGCGUGCAGGAUGAAGGUCUUCGGAUUGUAAACUGCUUUUAUUUGUGACGAAUAUGACGGUAGCAAAUGAAUAAGGAUCGGCUAACUCCGUGCCAGCAGCCGCGGUAAUAC